Molecule: ribosomal RNA, 1518 nt
Filed under: marine sediment metagenome
Description: bacterial LSU rRNA
Rfam family: Archaeal large subunit ribosomal RNA
Source: RNAcentral
CUACACUCUUUCCCUACACGACGCUCUUCCGAUCUAGAAUCCAUACCACCGCAAGCGCAAGGGUUUCCAGGCAAUGCGUUUUCAGCCUGGAGUUAGUCGAUCCUAAGAGUUGCCUCAAAAGAGUAAUUCGAAAGGGAAACUAGUUAAUAUUCUAGUACCUUGCUGCAAGCGUUUGAGCUAUAUGGUUUGCUUCCGGAUAGGGAUUGUAUAACCGUCGUUGUAUCUAACUGUUCGAGAGUUGGGGAGUGUCGUAAUGACGAGAACCGAUUCGAGGCAGGAAUGGCUUCGCGUUAGCGGAGUUUUCUCAAUUCCAGGAGACCAUGAAAGACUGUAUAGUUAGCGUGUAGCAAGCUCGUACCCAGAUCCGACACAGGUGCGCUGGAUUAGUAAUCUAAGGUGCUACGGGUAUACCGUAUGGCGAGGGAAUUCGGCAAAUUAGUCCUGUAGCUUCGGUAUAAGGGAUGCCUGCUGUCUUCAUGAGGAAUGGGGAUAGCAGGUUGCAAUGACAAGGGGGUCCCGACUGUUUAAUAAAAACACAGGUGACUGCUAGUCCGAAAGGAUUUGUAUAGUCACUGAAUCCUGGCCGGUGCUGGUACCUAAAACUUGGGUUCAACUGAGCUAAGGGCCAGUUAACGCCGGGAGUAACUCUGACUCUCUUAAGGUAGCCAAAUGCCUUGUCGGGUAAGUUCCGACGCGCAUGAAUGGAACAACGAGGGCCCCACUGUCCCCGCCUACAACCCGGUGAAGCCACAUAAGGUGGACGAACAGUCCAUCAUCUUCCAUCGGGGAGAGAAGACCCCGUGGAGUUUUACUGCAGCUUGUACUUGUGGUAUAGUAAAGAUUGCACAGAGUAUCUGGGAGCCAUGCUUAACGUUCUCCGGGAUGUUAAGAAGCGCCGAUGUAACACCAGACUCUCUUUGUAGUACCACUUAUCUGGUGAAGACCAGAGACAUGUGCAGGUGGGCAGUUCGGCUGGGGCGGCACCCCUUUGAAAAGAUAUCAAAGGGGCCCAAAGUUUAGUUCAAGCGGGUCAGAAAUCCGCUGAAGAGGGCAAAGCCAAAAACUAGACUGACUGGAUUUCCAAACGCACGGAAUUCAGAGACGAAAGUCGGGCUUAGCGAUCCUUCGAGUGCCCACUAUUGGGGCCCGGAGGUGACAGAAAAAUUACCCCAGGGAUAACAGGCUCGUCGCGGGCGAGAGCUCCUAUCGACCCCGCGGUUUGGUACCUCGAUGUCGGCUUUUCCUAUCCUGGUCCUGCAGCAGGGGCCAAGGGUGAGGCUGCUCGCCUAUUAAAAGGGAACAUGAGCUGGGUUUAGACCGUCGUGAGACAGGUCGGUCUCUGCCUGAUGGAAGUGUGGAUGUCUGAGGGGAAGUUGCUCAUAGUACGAGAGGAACAGAGCAGCGUGGCCACUGGUCUACCGGUUGUCUGACAAGGCAGGCCGGGCAGCUAAGCCAUUUAGGCUAAGUGCUGAAAGCAUCUAAGCACGAAUCCUAUCCCGAGACGAGACAUCCUUUCGU